This 449-nucleotide ribosomal RNA is filed under the name uncultured bacterium. Its description in RNAcentral is "bacterial SSU rRNA". It matches the Rfam family "Bacterial small subunit ribosomal RNA", at positions 354 to 796 of the family's 1533-position model. The record is from RNAcentral.
GUGGGGAAUAUUGGACAAUGGGCGAAAGCCUGAUCCAGCAAUGCCGCGUGUGUGAAGAAGGCCUUCGGGUUGUAAAGCACUUUAAGUUGGGAAGAAAAAGCUCUGGCUAACAUCUAGAGCCUUGACGGUACCAACAGAAUAAGCACCGGCUAACUCUGUGCCAGCAGCCGCGGUAAUACAGAGGGUGCUAGCGUUAAUCGGAUUUACUGGGCGUAAAGCGUGCGUAGGCGGUUUGAUAAGUCGAUUGUGAAAGCCCCGGGCUUAACCUGGGAAUUGCAGUUGAUACUGUCAGACUCGAAAACGGUAGAGGGAGGCGGAACUCCAGGUGUAGCGGUGAAAUGCGUAGAUAUCUGGAAGAACACCGAUGGCGAAGGCAACCUCCUGGGCCUGUUUUGACGCUGAGGCACGAAAGCGUGGGUAGCAAACAGGAUUAGAUACCCCUGUAGUCC